RNAcentral lists this long non-coding RNA (471 nucleotides) under Scleropages formosus (Asian bonytongue). RNAcentral's name for it is "lncRNA (ENSSFOG00015030415.1)". Lineage: Eukaryota; Metazoa; Chordata; Actinopteri; Osteoglossiformes; Osteoglossidae. The record is from RNAcentral.
GGUAAAUAAGUGUAACCUUAACAUUGUAAAUCGAUUUGGAGAAAAGCAUCAGCUAAGUGUGUUGUGUUUUUUUCAAUGCAAAUAUAUAGCUCACAUUUGUAUUAUUUCGUUUGUCCCGUCAGUACAGUAACGGGCAGUGCAGUGAAAGGAAAUGCGAUGCAAUUCCCGGCGCUUCCACCAGGUGGCAGAGCGAAACUAUGGAUCCGACAAUGUCUCUGUCAGCCUUCGGGAAGGGGAAAAAUAUAGACGUAUGUAAUCAGAUUGGAGGUGCUGGGUUCAGCCCAAUACGCAAGAGGUGCUGAGACUACGGAACCCCCAGGAACCCAUCCGGACCACAUUUCCCCUACGUCCCCAGUCAGACGACAGGCUGGACAGUAGACGCCGAGGGUGCGUGAACUCACGUUAAAGUGUGACGGUGAGGGGUUCCGAUCAGACACAGAUAUGAACACUUUGUACAGACUGUGCCGGGCA